RNAcentral lists this ribosomal RNA (479 nucleotides) under uncultured methanogenic archaeon. RNAcentral describes it as "bacterial SSU rRNA". It matches the Rfam family "Archaeal small subunit ribosomal RNA", at positions 512 to 990 of the family's 1478-position model. The record is from RNAcentral. Lineage: Archaea; Methanobacteriati; Methanobacteriota.
UAAGGGUCCGUAGCCGGUUUGAUCAGUCUUCCGGGAAAUCUGACAGCUCAACUGUUAGGCUUCUGGGGGAUACUGUCAGACUUGGAACCGGGAGAGGUAAGAGGUACUACAGGGGUAGGAGUGAAAUCUUGUAAUCCUUGUGGGACCACCAGUGGCGAAGGCGUCUUACCAGAACGGGUUCGACGGUGAGGGACGAAAGCUGGGGGCACGAACCGGAUUAGAUACCCGGGUAGUCCCAGCCGUAAACGAUGCUCGCUAGGUGUCUGGGAUGGUGCGACCGUUUCAGGUGCCGCAGGGAAGCCGUGAAGCGAGCCACCUGGGAAGUACGGCCGCAAGGCUGAAACUUAAAGGAAUUGGCGGGGGAGCACUACAACGGGUGGAGCCUGCGGUUUAAUUGGACUCAACGCCGGAAAACUCACCUGGGGCGACAGCAAUAUGUAGGUCAGGCUGAAGGUCUUACCUGAAUCGCUGAGAGGAGG